Molecule: small nuclear RNA, 102 nt
Filed under: Olea europaea subsp. europaea
Lineage: Eukaryota; Viridiplantae; Streptophyta; Magnoliopsida; Lamiales; Oleaceae
Source: RNAcentral
GUAAUUUCUGAACUUUUGAUAAAAUUGAAACGGUACAAAGACGAUUAACAUGGAUUUUGCGCAAGGAUGAUAUACACGAAUCGAGAAAUGCUUCCCAUAAUU